Molecule: RNA transcript, 2284 nt
Organism: Aethalodelphis obliquidens (Pacific white-sided dolphin)
Lineage: Eukaryota; Metazoa; Chordata; Mammalia; Artiodactyla; Delphinidae
Gene name: ubiquitin-40S ribosomal protein S27a-like
Exons: 2
Source: RefSeq, a predicted model, not a curated record
GCUUUUUUGGAACUUUCUGGAUUUUUUCCAAACAUUUUUGAUCUGCAUUUGGUUGAAUCCAAGGAUGCAGAACUUGUGGAUACUGAGGGCCAACUGUAAUUCUGUCUUUGGCUCAAGGAUAGGCCAACGUCAAAGUAGUAACUGAAAAAAGUCUGAUUCUGAUACUCAAAUCCUGGGUUCUUGUGUCCUAAGACUGGGCACAGUUAGAGGUUUUGCUUACAGUGUUACUAAUCUCACAACACCUCUGCAAAGCAAGUAACGGUCAUCUCUGGUUUAAGCCCUGAGAGUGCCCUUAGGGGAUCAUAUUCUUGGUGGUCUUCCUUAGCUCCUCCGAAGCACCCAUUCUCUGCUGAACAGAACCAAGAGCUUUCCUACAUUCUCAUGUAGGAAACAGUCCUUUAAAGCAGGUAUUGCCUUCAUGUUGGACUGGGGAAACAGACCCAGAGGAGUUAAGAAACUUGCCUCAAGUUACACAGCCACUAUGUCUGACUUUAAUGCAAAUAUUCUUAUCACUGUACCACAGUGCUUGUCACUGGGGCUUUUUAUCUGACUUCAACAUUUCUACCACUUUUGCUGGCUUUUCUUCCUCUGCCCAUCCCCUAAACGCUGGAGUUUCUUUUUUAGCUCUCAUUUCACUUAUAUACACGCCCUGUGCAAUCUCAUGUACCCCCAAUGUUUUCAAUUACCGUGCAUACACAAAUGGCUUCCAAAUCUAAGUAUCAAGCUCAGAUCUCUCUUCUAACCCCAGAUCUUCAUACCCAGCUGUCUACUCGACAGUCACCUGAGUGGGUAACAGGCAUCUCUAGCUUAACCUGUGUAACCCAGAGGGCAUCAGCAACCUCCCCAGGCCUGGAUCACCUCUUCUCUCCUGUCCUCUUCUAUGGAAAAAAAAUAUUUCAAUCAGGAAAUGUCAAGUUUUCCAUUCCUGAACACAGGUCUUACACUUACCCAUAGAUUUGGAGGAACUCCAUCUCUAAACCCUGCCUGGGAUAGCCAACACUAGGGAGGCUAGAAGAGGCUAAGGAGUGGGACGGUCACCCUGGGUCUGGGAGGUAAUCAUUGGUCCGUUUCCCCCUUCACCCCAGAGAUAGAUAAGUAGAAAACUUCUGAAGACUCCUUAAUAAUGUGUAGCCUCUACUGUGUCCAGACUUGACCCAUAAGUAUAGGACCGUCCUAGAUGAAAGCAGCAGUUACUAACUCCUAUAUGACAGUAAUUUACACACAGCAUCCACUGACCAAAUAAAAUACCUAAUGACAAAAUAUAACCAUGAAUUUAGUAACACUUUUAGAUGAUUCAGUAUUUUAAUAAAAUAAAUCCUAUCGUUUACAUCCUGUGACAAUGGCACAAAAGUAUAAGACAUAGGCUUUUUGGAUCCACCAUCUGUGGUGGUGCCGCCACCAGGAUGCAGAUUUUUAUGAAGAUCCGGACAGGGAAGACCACCACUCUCGAGGUCGAACCCUCAGAUACAAUAGAAAAUGUAAAGGCCAAGAUCCAAGAUAAGGAAGUAAUUCCUUCUGACCAGUGAAGACUAACCUUUGCUGGCAAGCAACUGGAAGAUGGACGUACUUUGUCUGACUACAACAUUCAAAAGGAGUCUACUUUUCAUCUUCUGUUGAGACUUCGUGCUGGUACUAAGAAAAGGAAGAAGUCUUACACCACUCCCAAGAAGAACAAGCAUAAGAGAAAGAGGGUUAAGCUGGCUGUCCUGAAAUACUGUAAGGCGGAUCAGAAUGGCAAAAGCAGUCACCUUCAUCGGGAGUGCCCUUCAGAUAAAUGUGGUGUGGAGUUUUUAUGGCCAGCCACUUUGACAAACACUAUUGUGACAAAUGUUGUCUGACCUAUUGUUUCAACAAACCAGAAGACAGGUUAUUGUAUAUUGGUUAAUAAAAGACAUGAACUAAUGAACUAAAAAAAAAAAAAAGUAUAAGACAUGGUUAUUUAGUCCCAGGCAGUACUAGGUAUGGAUUCAGACACCCACAGGUUUGCAAAGCAGAGCCUAAGAACAAUACUCAGAUGAAUUUAAAGAUUUUUUUUUUAAUAAAAGGGGAAGUUUAAAAAAUUGUAAUUAAAAGGCAAACAACAAACAAGGGAAAACGUCUGUAGUCUAUGUAGUCUAAUUAUACUAAAAGCCCUUACUAAUCAGUAAGAAAAAAACCAAUGGCCUAUUAGAAAACCGAUAGUGGGGACUUGCCCUGUGGCACAGUGGUUAAGACUCGCAACGCAGGGGGCACAGGUUCAAUCCCUGGUCAGGGAACUAGAUCCCACAUGCAUGCCGCAACUAAG